GCCUCGGAUCUCCUUUACAUGGCAUGGUCGUAUCCUUGAGGCUUGGGGAUACUCGUACCUGCCUUAGGGUGUUUGAGGCUGCUCGUUUUCCUAUCGGCUAUAGAUUGGUCGCGAUUAAGAAGAGACAAGCCACUUCUGCCGGCGACUUUCGCCAGAGGAUCCUUUCGGCGACUCGUGCGUCAAUGAGUAUUCUAACUACAUGUGCAUUUUUUUAUUUUAUUUAUUUUCUGACAAUUUUUCAUGUGGUUGUGUUUUAUAGAUCGAUCUCCGUCCUUGGAGUUUGAUCGUCGGAGUCCCUAAGGUUAUCUGGUAUGGCAUGAUUCGUUGCCGUUUCCAGGCCCCUAUUCGGGACUCUUGGUUUUUAGGUGAGCGUGUUCUCUGGCAUCUUUCGUCCCGAGGAGCCUUUGGUUCCUGCGGAUCCUUCGAUCCGGAUGAUACGUCCGGACUUGCUUUCUACCAAGGAUCGAGCUCAGGCGAUCCUUGGUUAUCCAACGGAGCAGCUAGUGCGGCCGGAGGUUUGUUAUCCGGCUUUUAUAGCAUCCAGGGUGCCUCAUUUUCCGGCUUUUGUUACGCAGGUCGAGCUAGGUGGUUGGGUGCCUCGUACAGCGGAGAUCACUUAUACCGAUGCUGUCGGAUCGGUAAUUCGUGAGACCCUUCACGUAGCGGAGGAUGAUGAGGGGAUACCGUUUGUACCUGAGACAGUUGAGUCGGUUCUGCGAUAAACCGUGAACGACAUGGGGAGGACUUUACGUGCUUUCCGAGCUUCUUAUCGGAGAGCCCUCGUGACUUUAUCAUGCCGUGAUCAUCGGAUGAUCGCAGAUGUGCAGCAACCGUCUAGUAGUCGCCGAGCACCCUGAUUCCUUUUUUACACAUAUUGUUAUUCAUUUUAGGAAACAUAUGUAUAUAUAUUUUUUGUACAUAUGACACAUUUGUAUAUAUGUCAUCAUUAUUAUAUUUUUGUUUCCAUGUGUACAUUAUUAUUAUUUUUAUUAUUAAAAGAAAAAAAAUUUCGAGGGAGGGAAAGGGUUCCCGAUUUACCCUGCUCGAAAAAAGGAAGGCGAAA
Long non-coding RNA from Chenopodium quinoa (quinoa), 1063 nucleotides. RefSeq lists it as uncharacterized. The record is from RefSeq and is a predicted model, not a curated record. NCBI's taxonomy places the organism in Eukaryota, Viridiplantae, Streptophyta, Magnoliopsida, Caryophyllales, Amaranthaceae. The transcript has 5 exons.